UUUUAGCCCCGAUUAAAGUGGAAAUCCUUUUUAUUCACCUUUUUUUGGUGAAGAAAAAGAUUGCAACGAAAAGCGGGAAAUAGC
Molecule: small RNA, 84 nt
Filed under: Flavobacterium urumqiense
Lineage: Bacteria; Pseudomonadati; Bacteroidota; Flavobacteriia; Flavobacteriales; Flavobacteriaceae
Description: Flavo-1 RNA
Rfam family: Flavo-1 RNA
Source: RNAcentral